UCAGACGAUGCGUCAUGCAUAUCAAUAAGCGGAGGAAAAGAAACUAACAAGGAUUCCCCUAGUAACGGCGAGUGAAGCGGGAAGAGCUCAAAUUUGAAAUCUUAAAGGGUUUCCCUUUACGAAUUGUAGUUUAAAGAAGUGUUUUCUGUUGAGGUUUUGGUAAAAGUUCUUUGGAAUAGGACAUCAUAGAGGGUGAGAAUCCCGUAUUUGACCUUUACUUUCAACUUUGUGAUACACUUUCAAAGAGUCGGAUUGUUUGGGAAUGCAGUCCAAAAUGGGUGGUAAAUUUCAUCUAAAGCUAAAUAUUGGCGAGAGACCGAUAGCGAACAAGUACCGUGAGGGAAAGAUGAAAAGAACUUUGAAAAGAGAGUUAAACAGUACGUGAAAUUGUCAAAAGGGAAGCGUUUGACACCAGUGUUGUUUUUCUGAAAAUCAAUUAAAGAACUGUUUAUGCUUAAGCUGUUUAGACUUUAUCAGCUAUCUGUUUAGUUUUGAGCUUUUCUUUAAUGCACUUUUCAGUUAACAAGUCAACAUCAAUUUCUUUUGCUGUAAAAAAGCUUGAGGAAGGUGGCUUGAGAUUCGUCUUAAGUGUUUAUAGCCUCUUGCCUAUGCAGUCGGAGAGAUUGAGGUCUGCAGCGUAGAUCCUUCGGGGCUAAAUGCAUUUGUGCUAAGUUAUAGCAUUUUAUAGACAACUUGUUGACUAUGAUUUGUCUUGUAGCUUACUCGCUUAUGUUAUUUUACCUACGCUUAGGAUGUUGACACACGCGCGUGCUCG
This 775-nucleotide ribosomal RNA is filed under the name uncultured Neocallimastigales. Its description in RNAcentral is "partial large subunit ribosomal RNA". It matches the Rfam family "Eukaryotic large subunit ribosomal RNA", at positions 18 to 643 of the family's 3401-position model. The record is from RNAcentral. Lineage: Eukaryota; Fungi; Neocallimastigomycota; Neocallimastigomycetes; Neocallimastigales.